Molecule: transfer RNA, 55 nt
Filed under: Torquenema toraliforme
Lineage: Eukaryota; Metazoa; Nematoda; Chromadorea; Rhabditida; Strongylidae
Description: tRNA-His
Source: RNAcentral
AGCUAAUUAGUUUAUAAUAAAAUUUUUAUUUGUGGUAUAAAAGAAUGAUUGGCUA